UUCGUUCCGUUGAAUGUUGUUCUGGUUCUUUCUGAUUUUCCUCAACUUCAGUAACCACAGGUUCACCUUUUACUGUUUCUGUAGGCUCAACUUCAGUAGCCACAGGUUCUUCUUUUACCGUUUCUGUAGCUUGAACUUCAGUAGCCACAGGUUCUUCUUUUACCAUUUCUCUAGGAUCAACUUCAGUAACCACAGGUUUGACUUUUACUGAUUCUGUCAGAUCAACUUCAGUAACCAGGGGUUCUUUUACUGUUUUUGUAAUUUCAACUUCUGUAGCCACAGCUUCUUCUUUUACUGUCUCUGUAGGAUCAACUUCAGUAACUAUAGGUUCGUCUUUUACCGUUUCUGUUGCCUCGAAUUCAGUAGCUGCAGGUUCAUCUUUUACCAUUUCUGUAGGCUCAACUACAGUUGUCACAGGUUCUUCUUUUACGGUUUCUGUAGCUUCAACUUCAGUAGCCACAGAUUCUUCUUUUACUGUUUCUGUAGCUUCAACUUCAGUAGCCACUGGUUCUUCUUUUACUGUUUCUGUAGCUUCAACUUCAGUAGCCACUGGUUCUUCUUUUACUGUUUCUGUAGCUUCAACUUCAGUAGCUGCAGGUUCGUCUUUUACCGUUUCUGUAGCCUCAACUUCAGUUGCCACAGGUUCUUCUUUUACCGUUUCUGUAGGCUCAACUUCAGUAGCCACGGGUUCUUCUUUUACUGUUUCUGUAGCUUCAGCUUCAGUAGCUAGAGGUUCUUCUUUUACCGUUUCUGUAGGAUCAACUUCAGUAACCACAGGUUCGUCUUUUACGGUUUCUGUAACCUUAACUUCAGUAGCUGCAGGUUCUUCUUUUACUGUUUCCGUAGCCUCAACUUCAGUAGCCACAAGUUCUUCUUUUAGUGUUUCUGUAGCCUCAACUUCAGUAACCACGGGUUCUUCUUUUACUAUCUCUGCA
RNAcentral lists this long non-coding RNA (935 nucleotides) under Medicago truncatula (barrel medic). Its description in RNAcentral is "long non-coding RNA (MTRU_LNC006373)". The record is from RNAcentral. Lineage: Eukaryota; Viridiplantae; Streptophyta; Magnoliopsida; Fabales; Fabaceae.